UGUGAUGUCUAAGUCAGUGCAUUUCCAGUGACAGAAAUUGACUUCUGGUAAACAGGUUUAUUGUUUUCAUACAUCAGAGCCCACUGGCCAAUUUUAAGAUCUGAAAGACCUGUAUUGCCUUCUGCAGCCCUUUGAAGAUUUAGGCAACAGCCUCUAUGUAAGGGUGGGAACUGUAUGGUCCUCCAGAUGACUGUGGAUUGGAACCAGGGUGACCAGAUGUCAUAAUUGCAAAGGAGGGCAAGGCCCCUAAAAAUGUUGGACAUUCAAGAAAAAGUGAGCAAGCUGUUUGCAUCUGUUUGGAAUCCAUACAUGAGAGACCAGGAUUUUGGCAUCACAGAGCUAACAGCUGGAAAAUCUGACUGCUCUUAGAGGUAUACAUCUGGACCUGUGAAACAGAGGAAGGAAGUGCUGCUGUGAAGCAUGUAAAGGCAGGCAGCUGUGGCUGAACCAUGUUUCUGCAAAGGGAGAUGGGCAGCCAAGCAACAUAGCAUCGCAGAACAGGUGGAGUAGUUCAAUGUGUGGCUCCCCUCUGCAUUUGGUAAUUUGAACAUUUGGUAAUACUGAGCCAUUUUGCUUCUUUUGUACAUUAAUUCACCCCAAUAAAUCCUGCUGCCUAGGAGGCUACAGGG
Sceloporus undulatus (fence lizard) is the source of this 629-nucleotide long non-coding RNA. RefSeq lists it as uncharacterized. NCBI's taxonomy places the organism in Eukaryota, Metazoa, Chordata, Lepidosauria, Squamata, Phrynosomatidae. The transcript is spliced from 3 exons. The record is from RefSeq and is a predicted model, not a curated record.